This 226-nucleotide long non-coding RNA is filed under the name Elaeis guineensis (African oil palm). RNAcentral's name for it is "long non-coding RNA (EGUI_LNC035221)". Lineage: Eukaryota; Viridiplantae; Streptophyta; Magnoliopsida; Arecales; Arecaceae. The record is from RNAcentral.
UUAUCUGAUCCUCAAAGCUCUGAUGGUUUAUAUAGAAAGCUGUUGAACAGCUGGUUGCAUAGCUGUGAGAUCGUACGAUCUCGAGAUUAUAGGGCUAUUGGACAUGCCAUUAUGGAUGAGAUAAUUCAACCUUCAAUCACUCCCACGAGAUUGAGGGAGUCAGUUACGCCUAAGCUGAUCCACUCGAGGUGAACAGCUAUUACACACAUUGAAGAAAUAAGUCGAC